Molecule: long non-coding RNA, 848 nt
Organism: Oryzias melastigma (Indian medaka)
Lineage: Eukaryota; Metazoa; Chordata; Actinopteri; Beloniformes; Adrianichthyidae
Exons: 4
Source: RefSeq, a predicted model, not a curated record
CACUUUGGAGCAGCACCACCACAAACUUUCUACCGUUUGGAUUCUUUCAGGUGACGUUAGGAUCACUAACGUGUUCUUCAGUUCAGACUAGAGGGAACUGGGUUUGGGUCAGAACCAGGCUCAAAUACUCACCAUUCCUGCCACAUGUUUAACCGCCUGGUUGAAGCGUGAGAGAACAGAGCAGAACUUCAGAGGAGACACUGGACCAGGCGAGGAACACAAACACUCGCAUGCAGGAAGAACGGGAAGAGGACCAUUCCUGACAUGAUUCCUCUCAUUCAGAUUCAGGGGCUGGAAGGUCACGGAAUGAUCCGAUAAAGGGGGCGAGGUUUGGUCAAAGGUUCAUGGGAGGUUGGACCUUAAGUUUGACCACUUUUUAAAGUCAUUUACAGGACAAACGUCGUAUUUAAACCAAAUCCUGAAUCCAUGCGCCUCAGUUUCAUUUGGACCGUCGUCUUUCUGGAUGGCUGAAACUGAAGCAUGAACCUCCAGAGAGAUUAGAGGAGCAGACCUGCACACCUGGAGAGACGUGCAGAUCCCUCGACCUUCCUGUGACCUUUCAGGAUCUGAUUCAGACGUUUCUCUGGGUUCUGCGAUGUGAAGUGAAGCAGACUCGUACCUUCUGGACCAGCUGCCCUCCAGCUUCAGCCGCAGACACCAGCUUACAGAGCGCCUGCAGAGCGGCCGGCCUCAGACCUGCGGGGGAGGGGCAGACGGCGGCGUUAGACGUUAGCAUCCUGCAGUGUGACGAGGAGCUGAAGCUGCUGCAGGUGAACCGACAGGUGAGCCAGGUGCAGGUACCGAGCAGAGACUGCAGCGUGGAGCUGCACUGCUGCAGCCGGUCUCCA